RNAcentral lists this ribosomal RNA (436 nucleotides) under uncultured bacterium. RNAcentral's name for it is "bacterial SSU rRNA". It matches the Rfam family "Bacterial small subunit ribosomal RNA", at positions 954 to 1392 of the family's 1533-position model. The record is from RNAcentral.
GCUAAACGCGAAGAACCUUACCAGGUCUUGACAUCCCUCUGACCGUCCUAGAGAUAGGGCUUUCCUUCGGGACAGAGGAGACAGGUGGUGCAUGGUUGUCGUCAGCUCGUGUCGUGAGAUGUUGGGUUAAGUCCCGUAACGAGCGCAACCCUUGUCCUUAGUUGCCAUCAUUAAGUUGGGAACUCUAAGGAGACCGCCGGUGACAAACCGGAGGAAGGUGGGGAUGACGUCAAGUCAUCAUGGCCCUUACGUCCUGGGCUACACACGUGCUACAAUGGGCGCUACAAAGGGCUGCAAGACCGCGAGGUGGAGCCAAUCCCUAAAAUCGCCCUCAGUUCAGAUUGCAGUCUGCAACCCGACUGCAUGAAGGUGGAAUCGCUAGUAAUCGCGGAUCAGAACGCCGCGGUGAAUACGUUCCCGGGUCUUGUACACACCG